This 475-nucleotide long non-coding RNA is filed under the name Homo sapiens (human). RNAcentral's name for it is "non-protein coding LINC02591:11". The record is from RNAcentral. Lineage: Eukaryota; Metazoa; Chordata; Mammalia; Primates; Hominidae.
CUUUCUGCAGGACAACUGUGCAGACUACAAAGCUUCGGAAAACCGGAGAGGCUGAGUCGACUAAUCGUGUUGUUGCACGUUAGAAACGCUUGCAUUGCCUGACUCUGAAACCAGAAGGGCGGCCGAAUGGCCUUCACCCUCCAUUAACCCUCGCCUCCUUCAGAAGCCAGUGCCUCUGGAAAUGCCUGGAUCUGCGACCCCAGCCUGAGCCUAGUAGGGCCCAAGGGAAGCUGAACGCCCCGACGGCUCUCAUGGGCACUGGCAACAGUUUUCCGUUUGUGCCUACUCCACCUGCUGUCUUUGUUGGGUCAGCGAACAUCGCCUCCCUCUACCGCUCAAUCAGCAAAAGGGACCGCCCUUGAGGACCUCACCCGCCGCUCACUCCCCUCCCAACUUCGCGGGCAUCGCCUCCGGUCGCCUCUUCCGAAGGCCUAACGAGCAUGUUAGCUGCGAACGGAGGUGAGGAGGCUCCGCU